RNAcentral lists this ribosomal RNA (836 nucleotides) under uncultured bacterium. Its description in RNAcentral is "bacterial SSU rRNA". It matches the Rfam family "Bacterial small subunit ribosomal RNA", at positions 9 to 873 of the family's 1533-position model. The record is from RNAcentral.
AGAGUUUGAUCCUGGCUCAGAACGAACGCUGGCGGCAGGCUUAACACAUGCAAGUCGAACGCAUCCUUCGGGGUGAGUGGCAGACGGGUGAGUAACGCGUGGGAACGUGCCCUUCAGUUCGGAAUAACCCAGGGAAACUUGGGCUAAUACCGGAUACGUGCGAGAGCAGAAAGAUUUAUCGCUGAAGGAUCGGCCCGCGUCUGAUUAGCUGGUUGGUGGGGUAAUGGCCCACCAAGGCGACGAUCAGUAGCUGGUCUGAGAGGAUGAUCAGCCACAUUGGGACUGAGACACGGCCCAAACUCCUACGGGAGGCAGCAGUGGGGAAUAUUGGUCAAUGGAUGCAAGUCUGAACCAGCCAUGCCGCGUGCAGGAAGAAGGCCUUCUGGGUUGUAAACUGCUUUUGCCGGGGGAUAAAAUUCCCAUGCGUGGGAAAUUGAAGGUACCCGGUGAAUAAGCCACGGCUAACUACGUGCCAGCAGCCGCGGUAAUACGUAGGUGGCAAGCGUUGUCCGGAUUUAUUGGGUUUAAAGGGUGCGUAGGCGGCCUAUUAAGUCAGUUCUGAAAUAUCCCGGCUUAACCGGGAGGGUGGGAUUGAUACUGAUGGGCUUGAGUGGAGUCGAGGUAGGCGGAAUUGACGGUGUAGCGGUGAAAUGCUUAGAUAUCGUCAAGAACACCGAUAGUGUAGACAGCUUACUAGACUUCAACUGACGCUGAGGCACGAAAGUGUGGGGAUCAAACAGGAUUAGAUACCCUGGUAGUCCACACUGUAAACGUUGAUUACUCGCUGUGUGCGAUAUACAGUACGCGGCUUAGCGAAAGCGAUAAGUAAUCCACCU